RNAcentral lists this transfer RNA (67 nucleotides) under Psylliodes gougeleti. RNAcentral describes it as "tRNA-Ser". Lineage: Eukaryota; Metazoa; Arthropoda; Insecta; Coleoptera; Chrysomelidae. The record is from RNAcentral.
GAAAUAAUAUAAUUAAAAACUAAGCUUCUAACUUAAGUUUUAAGCGUUGAAAUACGUUUUUAUUUCU